RNAcentral lists this transfer RNA (63 nucleotides) under Perinereis cultrifera. RNAcentral's name for it is "tRNA-Cys". Lineage: Eukaryota; Metazoa; Annelida; Polychaeta; Phyllodocida; Nereididae. The record is from RNAcentral.
GGCCUUGUAGUUGAUAUAACAACAUUAAAUUGCAGCUUUAAAGGAGUGCUCUCACCAAGGCUU